CCGGCCUCGCCGAGCACUCGGGCUCCUCCCGACCUGCGGCAUGGCCCGCUGACGGGGAAGGGGGCUCGGGAAGCUGCCCCGGCCUAGUCACCCCCGCCCGCGGCCGCCAGCGCCCGUCCCUUCGCCUCCCGGGUCCCGCGCUCCUCACCUCCUGGGCGCCGGCGGUGGCUCCAUGGCGGUCCGGAGCAGAAAGAGGGAGCGGGUGGACCCUAGAGGCCAGAGGGAGGAAAGGAGCCGGGGCACCGGACAGCCGAGCCCGGGUGAAAAAAAUGCCUUAAGCUUCUGUUUUAAUUUGUCUGUGGAAAGCCAGCCUAAAGAUUCCAAGAAGAAAAGCAUAGAAAUCAUCAUUCAACCUGCUAAUAAGAAGUAGAAGCAUCCAUGAGCAAAUAGAAGCAUAGAUAAAUUCAAGAUACAGUUAAGAGUCACUCAGCUUCACUUAACUGUGAAAUAAGGCCCAAGAUGGACACCGAUGUUUGGCGUCACAUGGAAACAUGACAAUAUCCAGCAACAGAAAAGAAUUCCUUCUUUCUGAACAUCAUUUUUAAGAUGGUAGGAAAAGUUAACCAAAAAUCCCCUCUGCAAACUUCCCAUCAUGUCUUAUUGGCCAGAAGUAUGUCACAGACUCAUUACUGGCAAAGAAAGGGGAUCAUUAAAACUUGUUUAGAGCAAUUAUGAUUUACCCUGUGGAGCUGGGGUUGGAGCUGAGAUCAGGACUGUCUUUCCCUGAUGCCCAUGGCAAGGAGAAGCAUAGAAAGAACAAAAUUGGGAUUCUGUUAUUAAGAAAGAACAGGGAAAUUGUUAUUAGGCAUCAGGGUAUACAUACAUACCUAGAACAUUACAACUUAUGCUACACAUAAGUACCUAGAACAUUAUAGUCCUUCAAUAGGUGCCUGUUGAAUGAAUAAAUAACUUUUCAAUUCAUACAAAAUGUACUAAGAGAAAGUGUAUUGUUUCAUUUUCUCUCACUUGCAGAUUCACUCUUCUUUGCCUGUUCCUUAAAAUGGAGCUUUCAUCUUUAAAUAUUUUCCUUUACCAGUUGAUGAGAUAGUUAAACUUUGUCAAUAGAGGACAAAAGAGACAUUGCACAAGAGAAAGAUUUUCCUUCUUGUUGGGGUGUGUGUAUUUAUGUGUUCCCAACAGGCUCCUACAACCAGGAGCGGCAACUUCCCCCCAACAACCUACACGGACACUUUCUGGAAAGUUUCAGGAGGCAGAUUUCUAGCAAGGCCACCAAGAUAGCAAAACCAAAUGUUCUGUGUUGUACAGCGAGGCACAGCUAUUCCCUUUCCAGCAAGGACUGGAUCUCAAUCCUUGGGGAGCAGGAUUCUUCGUUGGGUGCUCUAUCUCAGCCACGAGGGGCAUAACUGCUCCUAAUAUCUGCUAUUGGUAUUGUCUUAGUCCAUUCAAGAUGUCAUAACAAAAUAUCAUAACCUGGUGCUUUAUAAACAACAGAAAUUUAUUUCUCAAAGUUCUGGAACCUAGGAAGUCCAAAAUCAAGUCACUGGCAGAUUAAA
Molecule: long non-coding RNA, 1514 nt
Organism: Heterocephalus glaber (naked mole-rat)
Lineage: Eukaryota; Metazoa; Chordata; Mammalia; Rodentia; Bathyergidae
Source: RefSeq, a predicted model, not a curated record